GAAUGCAAUGGAAGUGGUUUAUAGUCCCUUGCUCUUACAACUUGCAGGGACAUGUGGUUAUUUGGAAAUUGUGACUGAGCGGACCCAAGAAUGUAAAUAAUAUUCAUAAACCUAUGGGAGACUCGUGUGACUAUUUUUUUUCCUUGUUCUAGGCACAGAAAAAAAUAGGUCAGCUUAAAAAUAUGUUUACAUUGGAUAAAGGAUUAGGCAAAAAUAAAAUGUUUCAAGGAUUCCUGACCAUAAGUGA
This 247-nucleotide long non-coding RNA is filed under the name Homo sapiens (human). RNAcentral describes it as "non-protein coding lnc-LRPPRC-3:1". The record is from RNAcentral. Lineage: Eukaryota; Metazoa; Chordata; Mammalia; Primates; Hominidae.